CCAGGACUCUUACUCUGUUGGGGUCUAUAUCGAAUGUGCUAAGUGUAUCCACAGAGAAGAGAAGAGAGCGUUUUCCUGUUUGUCCUGCCUAUAUCAUGUUACUGACCAGCUACGUCACUUCCUGUCUAUUCAUACAGACCUCCAGACCUCUACCAUUAGCUAGUGGCAGUUUCUGCCAGGAUACCUCAUUUUCUGGGAUCACAUGAAAACUCCUCUCUGCCUAUCAUUCCCAGAAUCCUCCUUGUCUUCUAGUGCUACAAAUCAUCCUGCCUGGCAAAUCAGUGUUUUAUUCAUCAGCCAAUAAAACAAACAUAUACACAGAAGAACAUUCCCCAUUAUGUUCCUAUGCUCAUGUCUGGGCAGCUGGGAUUCAGAUGAAUGUAGCUCUAGUGCUGAUUUCUGGAUUAGUUGUAGUGUGAUGGAUGGUUUGAUUCCUUGGUUUCUGUUUCCUCUCUGAAUUUUCAGGGAGUGUGAUGGCUGUGUGUUGCCUGGUAUGAAGUUUUUGUGGCCCUGUUUCCCUGGCCUCCUCAGCUGGUGUGUUCCCAGGGAAUGCCUGCUGCUGGUUUUGGAAACUAAGAAAAUGGCAGGAGUUGGAGGAAGGAAGGUUGGAGAAGAAGGUCUUUGUGAUCCAUUGGAGAUGGAAUCGGGAGGAAAGGGAGAUCACAGCAGGGGUUCUGCUAUGAAGCUGGACAUGAGACUGGAGGAUUGUGUCUGGAGGAACAGAAGAAGAGAAAUCUCAGGUGUCAGCACAUCCAGAGUGCAACAGACAAGUCUUAUCCUGGGAAAACCACCUUCAUGAUCACAGUAUCACCCCUACCAGGUUAGAACACUCAAUGGACACUUCUUCUCAGCGUGCUGAUCAGUUAUGAGUUUCUGCAUCAACUGCCACCCUCUGAAAAUGCUUCCUGGAGGACAAUGAAAUGGCUCAGCAGUUGCUGUUUUCACAGAGAACUACAGGUUGGCUUCCAGCUCCUAGGUCAGGUAGCUCACAACUGCCUGUAACUCUAGCUCCUUAGGAUCUGAUGCCCUCUU
RNAcentral lists this long non-coding RNA (1032 nucleotides) under Cricetulus griseus (Chinese hamster). RNAcentral's name for it is "lncRNA (ENSCGRG00015038725.1)". The record is from RNAcentral. Lineage: Eukaryota; Metazoa; Chordata; Mammalia; Rodentia; Cricetidae.